CAGUCGCCACGGUAAUACCGAGGGUGCAAGCGUUAAUCGGAAUUACUGGGCGUAAAGCGCGCGUAGGUGGUUUGUUAAGUUGGAUGUGAAAUCCCCGGGCUCAACCUGGGAACUGCAUCCAAAACUGGCAAGCUAGAGUAUGGUAGAGGGUGGUGGAAUUUCCUGUGUAGCGGUGAAAUGCGUAGAUAUAGGAAGGAACACCAGUGGCGAAGGCGACCACCUGGACUGAUACUGACACUGAGGUGCGAAAGCGCGGGGAGCAAACAGGAUUAGAGACCCCAGUAGUCCCUGUCUCUUAUAC
This 301-nucleotide ribosomal RNA is filed under the name uncultured bacterium. RNAcentral describes it as "partial 16S ribosomal RNA". It matches the Rfam family "Bacterial small subunit ribosomal RNA", at positions 509 to 807 of the family's 1533-position model. The record is from RNAcentral.